GAAUUCUGACCGUAAGGACAGGUGGAGCGCAUACAAGUGAGAAUGCCGGUAUAAGUAACGAAAAGAUCAGUGAGAAUCUGAUCCGCCGAAAACCUAAGGGUUCCUGAGGAAGGCUCGUCCGCUCAGGGUAAGUCGGGACCUAAGGCGAGGCCGAAAGGCGUAGUCGAUGGACAACAGGUGGAAAUUCCUGUACCACCGUAGCCGUUAUGAGCAAUGGAGUGACGCAGAAGGAUAGUGACGCGAGCUGAUGGAUGCUCGUCCAAGCAGUGAGGCUGGUUAGUAGGCAAAUCCGCUAACCGUAAGGCUGGGCUGUGAUGGGGAGGGAAACUUAAGUACCGAAGGUCAUGAGUUCACACUGCCAAGAAAAGCUUCUAGCCAGGCGAAGGUGCCCGUACCGCAAACCGACACAGGUGGGUGAGAAGAGAAUUCUAAGGCGCGCGGAAGAACUCUCGUUAAGGAACUCGGCAAAAUGACCCCGUAACUUCGGGAGAAGGGGUGCCUCGGUAGGGUGAAUAGCCCGAGGGGGCCGCAGUGAAAAGGCCCAAGCGACUGUUUAGCAAAAACACAGGUCUGUGCGAAGCCGCAAGGCGAAGUAUACGGGCUGACGCCUGCCCGGUGCUGGAAGGUUAAGAGGAGUGGUUAGGGGCAACCCGAAGCUAUGAAUUGAAGCCCCAGUAAACGGCGGCCGUAACUAUAACGGUCCUAAGGUAGCGAAAUUCCUUGUCAGGUAAAUUCUGACCCGCACGAAUGGCGUAACGACUUGGGCGCUGUCUCAACGAGAGAUCCGGUGAAAUUUUAAUACCUGUGAAGAUGCAGGUUACCCGCGACAAGACGGAAAGACCCCAUGGAGCUUUACUGCAGCUUGAUAUUGGACUUUGGUACGAUCUGUACAGGAUAGGUGGGAGCCUUUGAAGCCUGAGCGCCAGCUUGGGUGGAGGC
RNAcentral lists this non-coding RNA (939 nucleotides) under Paenibacillus pectinilyticus. RNAcentral describes it as "Bacterial large subunit ribosomal RNA". It matches the Rfam family "Bacterial large subunit ribosomal RNA", at positions 1252 to 2187 of the family's 2925-position model. The record is from Rfam by way of RNAcentral. Lineage: Bacteria; Bacillati; Bacillota; Bacilli; Caryophanales; Paenibacillaceae.